AGAGUUGAUCUGGCUCAGGAUGAGCGCUGGCGGCGUGCUAUACAUGCAAGUCGAGCGAACAGACAAGGAGCUUGCUCCUUUGACGUUAGCGGCGGACGGGUGAGUAACACGUGGGUAACCUACCUAUAAGACUGGGAUAACUUCGGGAAACCGGAGCUAAUACCGGAUAAUAUUUCGAACCGCAUGGUUCGAUAGUGAAAGAUGGUUUUGCUAUCACUUAUAGAUGGACCCGCGCCGUAUUAGCUAGUUGGUAAGGUAACGGCUUACCAAGGCGACGAUACGUAGCCGACCUGAGAGGGUGAUCGGCCACACUGGAACUGAGACACGGUCCAGACUCCUACGGGAGGCAGCAGUAGGGAAUCUUCCGCAAUGGGCGAAAGCCUGACGGAGCAACGCCGCGUGAGUGAUGAAGGUCUUCGGAUCGUAAAACUCUGUUAUUAGGGAAGAACAUACGUGUAAGUAACUAUGCACGUCUUGACGGUACCUAAUCAGAAAGCCACGGCUAACUACGUGCCAGCAGCCGCGGUAAUACGUAGGUGGCAAGCGUUAUCCGGAAUUAUUGGGCGUAAAGCGCGCGUAGGCGGUUUUUUAAGUCUGAUGUGAAAGCCCACGGCUCAACCGUGGAGGGUCAUUGGAAACUGGAAAACUUGAGUGCAGAAGAGGAAAGUGGAAUUCCAUGUGUAGCGGUGAAAUGCGCAGAGAUAUGGAGGAACACCAGUGGCGAAGGCGACUUUCUGGUCUGUAACUGACGCUGAUGUGCGAAAGCGUGGGGAUCAAACAGGAUUAGAUACCCUGGUAGUCCACGCCGUAAACGAUGAGUGCUAAGUGUUAGGGGGUUUCCGCCCCUUAGUGCUGCAGCUAACGCAUUAAGCACUCCGCCUGGGGAGUACGACCGCAAGGUUGAAACUCAAAGGAAUUAACGG
RNAcentral lists this ribosomal RNA (923 nucleotides) under uncultured bacterium. Its description in RNAcentral is "bacterial SSU rRNA". It matches the Rfam family "Bacterial small subunit ribosomal RNA", at positions 8 to 916 of the family's 1533-position model. The record is from RNAcentral.